Small nucleolar RNA from Dasypus novemcinctus (nine-banded armadillo), 135 nucleotides. NCBI's taxonomy places the organism in Eukaryota, Metazoa, Chordata, Mammalia, Cingulata, Dasypodidae. The record is from Ensembl.
UUGCAAGGCUCCAGCGUGCUUGGGUCUGCAGUGACCCUGUGCAUUCCUACAGUGCCUGCGAGAACAGGUUUGAAAUGGUUUGAGGCCUUGCUCUGCUCCGUCUACAGAGCAAGGUAAUAGACAUUUCAGACAGUU